UGCGGACUUAGCCUUGAAGUGUGGGUAGAAUUUGGAAAGACUUUUCCAAGAGUGGCCUAGAAAAUAAGCAAAGUUGUAUUACCUGGGAAAAUAUUUCAAUAAGAUUCAGGUCACUUGCUUAAGAACACCAUUUCCCAGAAGACAACAGUGGGGAGUUUACCAUUCAAAGACCUGCUUUGGAGAUGUAGAUUACUGUACCCUUUGAUUUUCAGAAGAUGCAGUUAGUAUUUCUCUUUUUCAACAAAUACUGUUUUCUUACUAAACCAUAUUUCCUGUUCCCAGAGUAAUUUUAUGCUGAUUGAAGAAAAGAAGUAAACAGAGUUCCAGAAAGCAACUGCAAAUACUCAUUUUGGAAAAGAAAACAAAACAAAAACAAGGGAGACAUUUUAAAAGUGCUAGCAGCCUGUACGCUCUGGGCAACACUGCCAGAUUCCUGAGUAAAGGUACCAACCUCAGAAGCUAUCAACUACAAAUGACAGAACCCAUGAUGUAUGUCAGGACUUCAGUGCCCAGAGGGGCCAGUAGGCUGCAUACCCAGUUACAGAGGGCCAGGACUAUUAACAGCUGGACUUCGACCAAGGAACACACAGGGGAGAGAGCCUUUCUUUGA
Pan paniscus (pygmy chimpanzee) is the source of this 610-nucleotide long non-coding RNA. Lineage: Eukaryota; Metazoa; Chordata; Mammalia; Primates; Hominidae. The record is from Ensembl.